UGGGGAAUUUUGGACAAUGGGCGAAAGCCUGAUCCAGCAAUGCCGCGUGUGUGAAGAAGGCCUUCGGGUUGUAAAGCACUUUUGUCCGGAAAGAAAUGGCUCUGGUUAAUACCUGGGGUCGAUGACGGUACCGGAAGAAUAAGGACCGGCUAACUACGUGCCAGCAGCCGCGGUAAUACGUAGGGUCCAAGCGUUAAUCGGAAUUACUGGGCGUAAAGCGUGCGCAGGCGGUUGUGCAAGACCGAUGUGAAAUCCCCGAGCUUAACUUGGGAAUUGCAUUGGUGACUGGACGGCUAGAGUGUGUCAGAGGGGGGUAGAAUUCCACGUGUAGCAGUGAAAUGCGUAGAGGUGUGGAGGAAUACCGAUGGCGAAGGCAGCCCCCUGGGAUAACACUGACGCUCAUGCACGAAAGCGUGGGGAGCAAACAGG
RNAcentral lists this ribosomal RNA (429 nucleotides) under Acidobacteriota bacterium. RNAcentral's name for it is "Acidobacteria bacterium partial 16S ribosomal RNA". It matches the Rfam family "Bacterial small subunit ribosomal RNA", at positions 355 to 776 of the family's 1533-position model. The record is from RNAcentral. Lineage: Bacteria; Pseudomonadati; Acidobacteriota.